Molecule: unclassified non-coding RNA, 338 nt
Filed under: soil metagenome
Description: partial contains 5.8S ribosomal RNA, internal transcribed spacer 2, and large subunit ribosomal RNA
Rfam family: 5.8S ribosomal RNA (bases 1-120)
Source: RNAcentral
GAUGAAGAACGUAGCGAAAUGCGAUAAGUAGUGUGAAUUGCAGGAUUCAGUGAAUCAUCGAAUCUUUGAACGCACAUUGCGCCCUUUGGUAUUCCUUAGGGCAUGCCUGUUCGAGCGUCAUUUGAAACCUCAAGCUCAGCUUGGUGUUGGGUGUCUGUCCCCGCCUCACCGCGGGGACUCGCCUCAAAAUCAUUGGCGGCCGGUACGUUGGCUUCGAGCGCAGCAGAAACGCGAACUCGAGGCCCGGCGGAUCGGCGACCAGAAGUCACUUCUUCACAGUUUGACCUCGGAUCAGGUAGGGAUACCCGCUGAACUUAAGCAUAUCAAUAAGCGGAGGA